This 322-nucleotide ribosomal RNA is filed under the name uncultured eukaryote. RNAcentral's name for it is "partial 18S ribosomal RNA". It matches the Rfam family "Eukaryotic small subunit ribosomal RNA", at positions 1470 to 1796 of the family's 1831-position model. The record is from RNAcentral.
CCCUUAGAUAUUCUGGGCCGCACGCGUGCUACACUGAGUGGAUCAGCGGGUCAGGUUGCGCGAAAGUGUUUCCUAAUCUUGAAAUCCGCUCGUGAUGGGGAUUGACGGUUGCAAUUUUCCGUCAUGAACGAGGAAUACCUUGUAAGCGCGGGUCAUCAUCCCGCGCUGAAUACGUCCCUGCCCUUUGUACACACCGCCCGUCGCUCCUACCGAUUGAGUGGUCCGGUGAGGCUUUGGGAUCUGAGCGGAAAGAGCGUUUCGCUGUUUCUGCUCGGAAAACUCAGUCGAACCUUAUCAUUUAGAGGAAGGAGAAGUCGUAACA